This 291-nucleotide ribosomal RNA is filed under the name uncultured Chloroflexota bacterium. RNAcentral describes it as "uncultured Chloroflexi bacterium partial 16S ribosomal RNA". It matches the Rfam family "Bacterial small subunit ribosomal RNA", at positions 387 to 694 of the family's 1533-position model. Lineage: Bacteria; Bacillati; Chloroflexota. The record is from RNAcentral.
CCCAUCAACGCCGCGUGAGGGAUACUGGCCUUCCGGUUGUAAACCUCUUUUCUUGGGGAAGAAUUCUGACGGUACCCAGGGAAUAAGCCUCGGACAACUACGUGCCAGCAGCCGCGGUAAUACGUAGGAGGCGAACGUUAUUCGGAUUUACUGGGCGUAAAGGGAGCGUAGGCGGUUCCUCAAGUCGGAUGUGAAAUCUUCUGACUCAAUCAGGAGGGGCCAUUUGAUACUGGGGGACUUGAGAGCAGCAGAGGGAAAUGGAAUCUCCAGUGUAGCGGUGAAAUGCGUAGA